GUCUGUCUCUGUCUCUUUCAAAGAAAAUGACUAGAUUGUUACAUGCCAGAUUGUCAAAGUAAUUUCACUUUUCAGAUGAGUAAAAUGAAGAACUGAAUCUUCAGUUUGCUCGAAAAUACCCAGUGGUUUGUGACAGAGCUGGAAUUAUCCAUCCAGGCAGGCAUCCACUUAGCCUGGAUGUGCUCUUCACUACAUGCUACACUGCCAUUUUGAAUUGUCAAGUGCCCAAAAAGGUUAGUGAACUCCCAAGACAUGCCGGUUCAGCAGUGAGCAGUAUAAAUGGUUCAACAUGAGCUGUUCCUUUUGUAAACAUACAAAAGGCCUGGCCCAGACUAAAUCAAUUUA
This is a long non-coding RNA of Suricata suricatta (meerkat), 345 nucleotides long. RefSeq lists it as uncharacterized. Lineage: Eukaryota; Metazoa; Chordata; Mammalia; Carnivora; Herpestidae. The transcript has 3 exons. The record is from RefSeq and is a predicted model, not a curated record.